Molecule: small RNA, 1028 nt
Filed under: uncultured Gemmatimonadaceae bacterium
Lineage: Bacteria; Pseudomonadati; Gemmatimonadota; Gemmatimonadia; Gemmatimonadales; Gemmatimonadaceae
Description: bacterial SSU rRNA
Rfam family: Bacterial small subunit ribosomal RNA (bases 1-491)
Source: RNAcentral
AUGGCUGUCGUCAGCUCGUGUCGUGAGAUGUUGGGUUAAGUCCCGCAACGAGUGCAACCCCUGUUCUUAGUUGCCAGCGCGUAAUGGCGGGGACUCUAGGAAGACUGCCGGUGCCAAACCGGAGGAAGGUGGGGACGACGUCAAGUCAUCAUGGUCCUUACGUCUAGGGCUACACACGUGCUACAAUGGGUCGGACAGUGGGGGCCGAGGCAGCAAUGCCAAGGCAAUCCCAAAACCGAUCCUCAGUUCGGAUUGUCGUCUGCAACUCGACGGCAUGAAGCUGGAAUCGCUAGUAAUCGUGGAUCAGCAUCGCCACGGUGAAUACGUUCCCGGGCCUUGUACACACCGCCCGUCACGCCAUGGAAGCUGCGAGUGCCCGAAGUCGGUGCCGGAACCCUUACGGGGCCAAGCCGCCGAAGGCAAGCGUAGUGACUGGGGCGAAGUCGUAACAAGGUAGCCGUAGGGGAACCUGCGGCUGGAUCACCUCCUUAACGGAGCAACGAGUAGACACUCGGGCGAAAGCCUCGAGCGGCGUAAGCCGUAAGUCGAAAGUUCUCACGUAGUUCGCUCGUCUCGCAUCAUCCUUGAUCUCAACUCUCGAUUCUCUUCUACGUUCGACAGGUGUCGAAGCCUGCCGAGCGCGUUUUGUGCCCUCGUCUCUCAACUGAUCGAGAAGGCGUUGGAGCAAGCUGUUUGACAACGGAAGGUAGUAGUGAUCGUGGGAUUCGAUGCGUGAGACCUGAUAAGAUCUCGCGUGUCAAGAAUCAACACUGAUUCAAUUUCGUCGCGCUCCAAGUCUGAGCAAUCGGGUUUGGAAAGCGAGCAAAGAUUGAUUCAUUCGUAGAUUGCGCGUUGUUGUUGUUUUUUAGUUGUUGUUGUGCUUUGAGACAGAAAUCUGAUCAAGCGAAAGAAGGUAUGUGGGGGAUGCCUGGGUACACGGAGGCGAAGAAGGCCGUGGUAAGCUGCGAUAAGCCAGGGGGAGCGGCACACACGCUAUGAGCCCUGGAUGGCCGAAUGGGGAAACCCGG